GUAGGGAAUAUUGCGCAAUGGGGGAAACCCUGACGCAGCGACGCCGCGUGAGUGAUGAAGGCCUUCGGGUCGUAAAGCUCUGUUGCAGGGGAAUAAAAAAAUGAAGGUACCCUGUGAGGAAGGAUCGGCUAACUUCGUGCCAGCAGCCGCGGUAAGACGAGGGAUCCUAGCGUUGCUCGGAAUCAUUGGGCGUAAAGAGGGCGUAGGUGGCUUGGUAAGUCAGGUGUGAAAGCCCAGGGCUCAACCCUGGAAGUGCAUUUGAUACUGCUGAGCUUGAGUGUCGGAGAGGUUACCGGAAUACCUGGUGUAGUGGUGAAAUACGUAGAUAUCAGGUGGAACACCGGAGGCGAAGGCGGGUAACUGGACGAACACUGACACUGAGGCCCGAAAGCGUGGGGAUCAAACAGGAUUAGAAACCCUAGUAGUC
RNAcentral lists this ribosomal RNA (427 nucleotides) under uncultured bacterium. Its description in RNAcentral is "partial 16S ribosomal RNA". It matches the Rfam family "Bacterial small subunit ribosomal RNA", at positions 354 to 795 of the family's 1533-position model. The record is from RNAcentral.